GUGACACGCAAGCAGUAGCAGAGAACCUCCUCUAGGGGUGGCAUGACACGCAGGCAGUAGCAGAGAACCUCCUCUAGGGUGGCAUGACACCCAGGCAGAAGCAGAGAACCUCCUCUAAGGGUGGCAUGACACUCAGGCAGUAGCAGAGAACUUCCUCUAGGGUGGCAUGACACUCAGGCAGUAGCAGAGAACCUCCUCUAGGGUGGCAUGACACCCAGGCAGAAGCAGAGAACCUCCUCUAGGGGUGGCAUGACACCCAGGCAGUAGCAGAGAACCUCCUCUAAGGGGUGGCAUGACACCCAGGCAGUAGCAGAGAACUUCCUCUAGGGUGGCAUGACACCCAGGCAGUAGCAGAGAACUUCCUCUAGGAAAGCAUGACACCCAGGCAGUAGCAGAGAACCUCCUCUAGGGGUGGCAUGACACUCAGGCAGAAGCAGAGAACCUCCUCUAGGGUAGAAUGACACCCAGGCAGUAGCAGAGAACCUCCUCUAGGGGUGGCAUGACACCCAGGCAGUAGCAGAGAACCUCUAAGGGGUGGCAUGACACCCAGGGAGUAGCAGAGAACCUCCUCUAGGGGUGACAUGACACCCAGGCAGUAGCAGAGAACCUCCUCUAGGGGUGACAUGACACCCAGGCAGUAGCAGAGAACCUCCUCUAGGGUGGCAUGACACCCAGGCAGAAGCAGAGAACCUCCUCUAGGGGUGGCAUGACACCCAGGCAGUAGCAGAGAACCUCCUCUAAGGGUGGCAUGACACUCAGGCAGAAGCAGAGAACCUCCUCUAGGGUAGAAUGACACCCAGGCAGUAGCAGAGAACCUCCUCUAGGGGUGGCAUGACACCCAGGCAGUAGCAGAGAACCUCUAAGGGGUGGCAUGACACCCAGGGAGUAGCAGAGAACCUCCUCUAGGGGUGACAUGACACCCAGGCAGUAG
This is a long non-coding RNA of Oncorhynchus tshawytscha (Chinook salmon), 931 nucleotides long. The record is from Ensembl. Lineage: Eukaryota; Metazoa; Chordata; Actinopteri; Salmoniformes; Salmonidae.